UCUCUCUCUCUCUCUCUCUCUCUCUCUCCUCCCACUCUUAUUCUCUCUCCACUCGUUCUCUCCACCUGUCUUCUCUCUCUCACUCUCUGUGGUUGCUUAAGAAAAGGGAUUCCUACUCUGGCCUCUGACGAUCGUUGCUGGUUGGCGACUGCGACGGUGCUAAUCGAGAUAGUGGUGAGACUGUGCUUUUCUUUGACAGCUGUGGUGGUCCGGCGAUGGUGAUGGCUGUGAUGUUGAGUUGGUGGUGAUGUUGGAUGAGUUCUGGAUUUGGUUCUAGCAUUGGGCUGGAGGAGGACGAUGUGGUUUGUGUGUGGGAUGGCAUGGGUGACGGGAUCUGAUGGUUGCAAUAGUGAGGGACGGCCGGUGGUGUUGCGCUUGCUAUGGCGAUUUUGUCCUGUGACGUUGUUGUUGUAGGGUGGCGGUGGUGGUUCUGGCGACGAUACUGUUGAAAG
This 452-nucleotide long non-coding RNA is filed under the name Olea europaea subsp. europaea. Lineage: Eukaryota; Viridiplantae; Streptophyta; Magnoliopsida; Lamiales; Oleaceae. The record is from RNAcentral.